CUAGGGGUUAGAUGUGAAAGAAACCUGAGCUGGUGAAGCCUGAGGACUUAGUGCUCGCCGCAAUCAAAGUAAGGUAGAGCUGAUUAGCCACGGUGAAACCUGCCUGUGACAUCCCCAGGAUCCCCGUCUGACAUACGGAAAAACAGGCCAUUCCUAAAUGAACGUGAUUACUGUUCAACAGUCAAAGUUGAAUGGAUACAGUUUCCAUGACGCCGUGGCUCAUGCUAACAAUCAUACAGUACAGCGAGCACCUUAAAGGGGAGCAAGAAAAGGUGUUUUAUCUGGAGCAGUGUGACCACCUGAAAGCCGGAAAACAGCAAAUGCACUGUGCUCUGAUCAAGCCUGACCUUGCUUAUUUGAAGCUACAAAAGGUAGUCCUCCUUGAACUCAUCCAUUAACCUGUUUGUUUACAAUCUGGCCUGACAUGCCACAGUAAAACACUUUCUCUCCCACACGUGUGGAAACUGUUGCACUGUCGCACAGUUGUAAUAACUGGGUUGCGUGAAUGCCAUACAUAAGGAUAUAUGCAGUUCAAACACAACAGGAGCGCACUGAUGUGGUCUUGCUAAAUGAAUUGUGCCACCAGCAAUUAUGACUCCAUUAUCACUUAAUUGAUUUUUCCACAAAUUGUCAGAACAUUGUGUAAUUGAGUGGCAAGCGGUCAUCACACUGAUUGUUGUUUUUCUCUAACUACUAUUCAUGAGCCAUCCAUCCAGCCAGCCAUCAUGCAGGCGGCACCCUAAGCAUGGAAGCCCAGACUUACAUCUCCCCCAGCCACUUCGUCCAGUUCUUCUGGGAGAUCGCAAGGCAUUCCCAGGCCAGCCAAGAGACACAGUUGCUCCAGUGGGACGUGCCCAGAACCAAUCACCAGGGAGGCACUCAGGGGGCAUCCUAAUGCGAUGCCUGAGCCACCUCCUCUGGCUCCUCCACUUUACUUUGAGUCCCUCCCGUACGACAGAGCUUCUCGUCUAUAUGGGAGAGCCCGGAUACCCUGCGGAGGAACUUCCUUUCGGCCGCUGAUCUUGCUCUCUGGGUCAUGACCCACAGCUUGUGGCCAUCGGUGAAGGUGGGAACGUAGUGUAAAUCGAAAACUUCGCCUUUAAGCUCAGCUACUUCUUAACCACAACAGACAGAUGCAGAGUCUGCAUACUGUAACUGCAGACGUUGCGCCGAUCUGCUUGUCGAUCUCCCGCUCCAUUCUUCCUUCACUCGUGAAAAAGACCAUGGAGUCAGAUUUGGAGGUGCUGAUUCUCCUCCUAUCCAUGACUGAAAUGUUAUUUCAUAUAGCAGUGGUUUUAAGAAGUAGUAGUUAAUCUUUCCAAAUAGUCUAUCUUCAAAACUUGGAGAUGGGUUUUUCUUUUUCAUUUAAUCCGUCAAGAGCCAAUACCCUCUCUUAGAAUUUACUCAAAGAGAAUUUACUUGUGUUGUGGAGCAUCUUGUGUGUAGUUUGCAGUUCCUAUCCAACCAAGGGAAUUCUGAUGCCUGCUUUCUCUCCUGUAAAAUAUGGUAUGAAACCCAGCUAACAUUGUGAGGGGCUUUUGUGGUCCCCCCAUUAUGGGUAUAGAAAAUAUAUUUGGCAAAACAAAAUGUGGUACCACGUAUAUUUUUAUACUGGCAGCAUGGCUGACAAAUCUUUCGUCUUUUGUGAAGAAUAUAGGAUGUGGGCUUUCAUCAUUAUAUUGUAGCUGGUAAAACACUUUAGAUGUGUCUGUUCCUCAAGCAUGAGAGACUUGAUGCUGUUUGUGACUCAGCCAACUCCGGUGCUGUCAUUGCAUCCAUCCAUCCAUGUUUAAAUCUAAAUGUUUCUUAACACAAUGUUUGUAUACCUGCGUUUUGGGGACUUUAUACAGCUUUUAAUGUCAGUCAGAUCAAAAUUGAACCAGAGGUAUGUGAAGAAUUUUGCUUUUCUGUUGGGUUUAUGUUAGCAUCCGGCACAUUCUGUUGAAAUGAUGGCCAUCACUGAGACUGAAAAACUGUCAAAGACUGUCAAUAAAAAAAACUCACGUCAACACACACGAAUAAAAGGCAGCAUGAG
Long non-coding RNA from Phyllopteryx taeniolatus (common seadragon), 2035 nucleotides. RefSeq lists it as uncharacterized. The record is from RefSeq and is a predicted model, not a curated record. The transcript has 3 exons. Lineage: Eukaryota; Metazoa; Chordata; Actinopteri; Syngnathiformes; Syngnathidae.